Molecule: ribosomal RNA, 512 nt
Filed under: uncultured bacterium
Lineage: Bacteria
Description: partial 16S ribosomal RNA
Rfam family: Bacterial small subunit ribosomal RNA
Source: RNAcentral
GAUGAACGCUGGCGGCGUGCCUAAUACAUGCAAGUCGAACGAAACUUCUUUAUCACCGAGUGCUUGCACUCACCGAUAAAGAGUUGAGUGGCGAACGGGUGAGUAACACGUGGGCAACCUGCCCAAAAGAGGGGGAUAACACUUGGACACAGGUGCUAAUACCGCAUAACCAUAGUUACCGCAUGGUAACUAUGUAAAAGGUGGCUAUACUACCGCUUUUGGAUGGGCCCGCGGCGCAUUAGCUAGUUGGUAGGGUAAAGGCUUACCAAGGCAAUGAUGCGUAGCCGAAUUGAGAGGUUGAUCGGCCACAUUGGGACUGAGACACGGCCCAAACUCCUACGGGAGGCAGCAGUAGGGAAUCUUCCGCAAUGGGCGAAAGCCUGAUGGAGCAACGCCGCGUGGGUGAAGAAGGUCUUCGGAUCGUAAAACCCUGUUGUUAGGGAAGAAAGUGCGUGAGAGUAACUGUUCACGUUUCGACGGUAUCUAACCAGAAAGCCACGGCUAACUACGUG